AUGACAUCAGCUAUCCAGGCCGAAGCAUUUAGCAUGAUGCUAGCAUACAAGAUUGCGGAGCGGCUUCAGAUUCAGCAGGGAACAUUUCUGACGGACAGCAUGAUUCUGGCGAAAGCUAUAGCGGCCAGCAAGCCCAUUCUUGAUCCAGGUCAUUGGACUAUAAGGCCACAGCUUGCAUGCAUAACAGCUUCCUCAACCUUUGAUGCUACAAGAAUUUAUCAUAUCAAUUGGAGCUACAACUUACGAGCACAACACCAAGCUAGAUUAGCAAUCAAAACUCAAAACUCCCCUUCAAGGUUCACAUGUUUAGGUUCAGGAAAUGGUUCUUGCCUUAAUGCAGUACUAGCUGCACUUUCUUCAGAACUGCAAUAA
This 372-nucleotide ribosomal RNA is filed under the name Triticum aestivum (bread wheat). Its description in RNAcentral is "partial small subunit ribosomal RNA". The record is from RNAcentral. Lineage: Eukaryota; Viridiplantae; Streptophyta; Magnoliopsida; Poales; Poaceae.